Long non-coding RNA from Paramisgurnus dabryanus, 1071 nucleotides. RefSeq lists it as uncharacterized. Lineage: Eukaryota; Metazoa; Chordata; Actinopteri; Cypriniformes; Cobitidae. The record is from RefSeq and is a predicted model, not a curated record.
CGCAGACAGGUGUCUACGGAGUGGAAAGAAGUUGUUGCAUCUGAUAAUUCUUCAAUCGUGUAGCAGCAACUGCAGCUUACAUGGAAUGAGGAUUAUCGGAUUCAUCUACACUCACUGAUCAUCCAAGGUGAAUUGAUGACCUCAAGCAAAUGGAUGUUGUCAUCUGAAGAGAAAGUUAUCCUGGGCCCAUGUUUAGAGGCAUUUGGGGCAUAUCAGACACAUAUCAGAAUCAAGCUGCAUGCACACUUGAGUUUAUUCAGAGAGAAGUUGUGGGCAUCAGUCCGGAAACUGGAUCAAAAAUUUGCUGCUGGAAUGUGAGACAAAUAAAGGCAUGGAAUGAACCCAAAUGUAUGAACACUGCUACAAAAACUAAUGGACUUUCAAUGGCUUGCCAGUUAAUUCCAAUGGAAUUGAAGAAGAGACUCUGACAAGAUUUUCAAGUUGGUGUUUAAUUUAAAAGUUUAUCUUCAUAGAUAAGCAAUUUAAAGGUGUCAAAGCUGUGCGAAACUGGAGGGAGAACCUUGAGAGACCGUGCCGGAAGAAUGCUGGACAGAGUUCACUAAAAUUAAUUCAUUUCAAAGUUCAACAUGAAUGGUGGUGGUCCACUGCAGAAGCAAGCAUUUGAAAAAACAUCAGUUCUCAGUUAUUAAAGAUGCUGUGUUGAACAACUUCCCAGCAGCAACAGAACUGGAAGUGAAGGAUGCAAUGGGGGCAUUUCAAACAGGCACCAGGGAGCACGGUAGUGAUGGGUCGUUCGCGAACGCCGGCUCUGAGAGCUGAUUCUUUGUAGCGAACGAGCAGAGCCGAAUCUUCAGACGCAGGCCGGGGAGCCUGAGCCAGAAGAGCUGAGCCAGAAGAGCCGAAUCAAUGAAAAGAGCCGGACUGCCAUGACUAAAAUGUAGAGCCGGAGCUUGAGCCGAAAGAGCCGAAUCAAUGGAAAGAGCCGGACUGCCCAUCACUAGAGCACGGGGGGGGGGGGUAUAGAAAUUAGUACAAUUAAUAAGUUGACGUGAACUGAAGAUAGUUUGUUAAUGUUUAGAUGUUAUUUCAUUUUUAAAAUUGUAUUUUGUU